This 253-nucleotide ribosomal RNA is filed under the name uncultured bacterium. RNAcentral describes it as "partial 16S ribosomal RNA". It matches the Rfam family "Bacterial small subunit ribosomal RNA", at positions 524 to 776 of the family's 1533-position model. The record is from RNAcentral.
UACGAAGGGGGCUAGCGUUGUUCGGAAUUACUGGGCGUAAAGCGCACGCAGGCGGAUUGAUAAGUCGGGGGUGAAAUCCCGGGGCUCAACCUCGGAAUUGCCUUCGAUACUGUUUAUCUUGAGUCCGGGAGAGGUGAGUGGAAUUCCUAGUGUAGAGGUGAAAUUCGUAGAUAUUAGGAAGAACACCAGUGGCGAAGGCGGCUCACUGGCCCGGUACUGACGCUCAUGUGCGAAAGCGUGGGGAGCAAACAGG